UACGAAGGGGGCUAGCGUUGUUCGGAAUUACUGGGCGUAAAGCGCACGUAGGCGGAUUGUUAAGUCGAGGGUGAAAUCCCAGGGCUCAACCCUGGAACUGCCUUCGAUACUGGCAUUCUUGAGUCCGAGAGAGGUGAGUGGAAUUCCGAGUGUAGAGGUGAAAUUCGUAGAUAUGGGGAGGAACACCGGUGGCGAAGGCGGCCAUCUGGACGGAUACUGACGCUGAGACGCGAAAGCGUGGGUAGCAAACAGG
Molecule: ribosomal RNA, 253 nt
Filed under: uncultured bacterium
Lineage: Bacteria
Description: partial 16S ribosomal RNA
Rfam family: Bacterial small subunit ribosomal RNA
Source: RNAcentral